GACGAACGCUGGCGGCGUGCUUAACACAUGCAAGUCGAACGAUGAAGCCGGAGCUUGCUCUGGUGAAUUAGUGGCGAACGGGUGAGUAACACGUGAGUAACCUGCCCUUGACUCUGGGAUAACUGCGGGAAACUGUAGCUAAUACCGGAUACGACCCUCGGAGGCAUCUCCUGGGGGUGGAAAGAAUUUCGGUCAAGGAUGGACUCGCGGCCUAUCAGCUAGUUGGUGAGGUAAAGGCUGACCAAGGCGACGACGGGUAGCCGGCCUGAGAGGGUGCCCGGCCACACUGGGACUGAGACACGGCCCAGACUCCUACGGGAGGCAGCAGUGGGGAAUAUUGCACAAUGGGCGCAAGCCUGUUGCAGCAACGCCGCGUGAGGGAUGACGGCCUUCGGGUUGUAAACCUCUUUUAGCAGGGAAGAAGCGAAAGUGACGGUACCUGCAGAAAAAGCACCGGCUAACUACGUGCCAGCCGCCGCGGUAA
Molecule: ribosomal RNA, 484 nt
Filed under: uncultured bacterium
Lineage: Bacteria
Description: partial 16S ribosomal RNA
Rfam family: Bacterial small subunit ribosomal RNA
Source: RNAcentral